RNAcentral lists this transfer RNA (74 nucleotides) under Ipomoea nil (Japanese morning glory). It matches the Rfam family "tRNA". Rfam says of the family: Transfer RNA (tRNA) molecules are approximately 80 nucleotides in length. Their secondary structure includes four short double-helical elements and three loops (D, anti-codon, and T loops). Lineage: Eukaryota; Viridiplantae; Streptophyta; Magnoliopsida; Solanales; Convolvulaceae. The record is from Rfam by way of RNAcentral.
GCUCUUAUAGCUCAGUUUGUUAGAGCACCCGUUUUGUAAGUGGGAGUACUUGCGUUCAACUUUCAACAAGAGCA